AUGAUAACGGUUUCAUUUAAAAUGACCCAAUUCAAAAGUCUGUUGUUACUCCAUAAUGGCAUUUUCAGUAAUAGUAUUCUUAUUUCAUGUCAAGUUUUUA
Etheostoma spectabile (orangethroat darter) is the source of this 100-nucleotide long non-coding RNA. RefSeq lists it as uncharacterized. The record is from RefSeq and is a predicted model, not a curated record. The transcript is spliced from 3 exons. NCBI's taxonomy places the organism in Eukaryota, Metazoa, Chordata, Actinopteri, Perciformes, Percidae.